AUUGAACGCUGGCGGCAGGCCUAACACAUGCAAGUCGAGCGCGAAAGUCUUCGGAUGAGUAAAGCGGCGAACGGGUGAGUAACGCGUGGGAAUCUGCCCAGUAGUGGGGGACAACAGCCGGAAACGGCUGCUAAUACCGCAUACGCCCUACGGGGGAAAGGGGGGGAUCUUCGGACCUCUCGCUAUUGGAUGAGCCCGCGUCGGAUUAGCUAGUUGGUGAGGUAAAGGCUCACCAAGGCGACGAUCCGUAACUGGUCUGAGAGGAUGAUCAGUCACACUGGAACUGAGACACGGUACAGACUCCUACGGGAGGCAGCAGUGGGGAAUAUUGGACAAUGGGGGCAACCCUGAUCCAGCCAUGCCGCGUGUGUGAAGAAGGCCCUAGGGUUGUAAAGCACUUUCAGUGGGGAGAAAAGUGAUUCACUUAAUACGUGAGUCAAUUGAUGUUACCCACAGAAGAAGCACCGGCUAACUCCGUGCCAGCAGCCGCAGUAA
This 495-nucleotide ribosomal RNA is filed under the name uncultured bacterium. Its description in RNAcentral is "partial 16S ribosomal RNA". It matches the Rfam family "Bacterial small subunit ribosomal RNA", at positions 30 to 523 of the family's 1533-position model. The record is from RNAcentral.